AGUGAACGCUGGCGGUAGGCCUAACACAUGCAAGUCGAACGGCAGCACAGUAAGAGCUUGCUCUUACGGGUGGCGAGUGGCGGACGGGUGAGGAAUACAUCGGAAUCUGCUUUUUCGUGGGGGAUAACGUAGGGAAACUUACGCUAAUACCGCAUACGACCUACGGGUGAAAGCAGGGGAUCUUCGGACCUUGCGCGAUUGAAUGAGCCGAUGUCGGAUUAGCUAGUUGGCGGGGUAAAGGCCCACCAAGGCGACGAUCCGUAGCUGGUCUGAGAGGAUGAUCAGCCACACUGGAACUGAGACACGGUCCAGACUCCUACGGGAGGCAGCAGUGGGGAAUAUUGGACAAUGGGCGCAAGCCUGAUCCAGCCAUACCGCGUGGGUGAAGAAGGCCUUCGGGUUGAAAAGCCCUUUUGUUGGGAAAGAAAAGCAGCAGGUUAAUACCCCGCUGUUCUGACGGUACCCAAAGAAUAAGCACCGGCUAACUUCGUG
Molecule: ribosomal RNA, 492 nt
Filed under: uncultured bacterium
Lineage: Bacteria
Description: partial 16S ribosomal RNA
Rfam family: Bacterial small subunit ribosomal RNA
Source: RNAcentral